Molecule: long non-coding RNA, 1816 nt
Organism: Topomyia yanbarensis
Lineage: Eukaryota; Metazoa; Arthropoda; Insecta; Diptera; Culicidae
Exons: 3
Source: RefSeq, a predicted model, not a curated record
AGUUUUCGAUUGAAGAAACUGGUGUAGUUUUCUGCACUGAAAUUGCACUUUUCUUGCAGAAGUGUUGUCAAAACACCGACACCAUGUUCCAUUGAUUGGAACUGCAAUAAAAAAGUGCAAUUCCAGUGCAAUUUCGGGGCAGAGAUUUGGCACCGAAAAUUUUGUCGGUGGAGCCAGUGCACGCACUAACACCAAUAGCGGAAACGUCAAAACCACGAUUAAAACAACACAAAAUGGAAAAGAAAAAAAAUCGAAAAUCAGCGACCGGACAAUCGGUAGCGAUUGAACUACGUUAACUGCGGUGUUUUAAUGAGCAAGAAACAUGUUGCCUCACUGGCACAAUUGUACGAGAAUGCAUCUAAUAAUACAGAAAGUUAUCACGACAGCCGAACUAAAAAAUAUUGCUUAUGUUGACCUGCUGUAAAUGAUGGCAACGAGUAUCAUACCAGUCAGGUGAAAAUUGAGGUGAAUCGGUUUAUUACGUGACCAGCCAGCGUCGUGAAGACCCAAAUUUGUCCGAAUGCCGACCCACAUUAUGCUAGAUGGAAAUAUACCUUCGCAAGCAAACCGAUUCAAAUCUAAUGCACACGGGAAAAGUGGAUAUACAAUCGGUUAAAAAUUCGAGGCACAGGUUUUAAUGAAGUCCACUCCAUUAAAUUAAGAAACUAUAGUAAGUCCUUUGCGGUUGGAGCUCGAACAUACGUACAUACGGCACGGCACCGCCCCGGACAAGUGUCAAUGCCUGCUGAAUUGGUGUCCGUGCACGGAGCUGAACCGGCACUGAAACGGAUCGGAUAGGUGUAAAUAGUGCUUUAUUCUCCCAUAUAUUUUACGUGUACGCAUUCAUAUCUAUCCGGCGCAGUACCUGUGUCGGAAAGUGUGGAUACGUACAGAUGAAGUAUAUGGGUAUAGUGCUGGGUAUUCCGAUGGGGGCCAAAUAUUGAACUCACGCUUAAUAAAAAUCCAAAGAGUAUUAUAUUUUCGGAAAAGUUUUUGAAGAAGUCAAGAACUAUUUUAAGAUCGACGGAUUAAUUGUGAAUUCUAUUAGAAUAUUAAGAAUUCUAUUAGCAAGCAAUAUUUUAAAAUCUUGACUGCCUUCUUCUUCUUCUAGUUCUGGUUAUUUUUCGUCGGUCUAUUUCCGCUACGAGGCCAAAUACCGACGCCAGAAAGGUGACGACUCCCAUCUGGACUAGAUAUCAUCCAUCAACUUAUGGACCGGGGACCAACAGCAUUACUUCCCUUCCGAAGGAAGGCGUAACCUUCAGAUUUUUCUCACCUCAGAAAACUCAACGACCUCGACUGGGAUUGAACCCAGACCAAGUGGGGUGAGUGGCGGUCACGUCUACCACCCACCCAACCAUCGGCGCCGUCAUCCUGAAUGUCAAAUUCAUGAUUGUAUAAAAAAUGAGGGUUAUUGAAAUGAGCUCACAGGACGGCGCAUGUAUUUUGUAGAACUCCUAUGUAUCAAUUUAGAAGUAUAGUGUCUUCGACAAAGCUCUUGAGCACGUCGAGGGCUACCGGUGGUAAACUAAUUAAUUUUGAAUUCGUUCACUAACAAUAUUGAAAUUUUCAGUACAUGUUAGAGCAUGCUUUAUCUCACAAUCCUGAGUACAUGGUGGUUUAGACGAAUAGUAUCUCAAACAAAGUUCUUGAUUAGAUUAAUUUUGGACUCAGGCGCUAGCUGGCGUAUGAAAUCUUUUAAAUUCCUAUUUCUCAAGAUCAUGGUUGUUCAAAAAAGCGGUUUCAUGAACAAAAUUCAGAACGAGAUACAGAAUUUUCUGACUAGUAAUUUACUUUUUCAUCCGAAGUUCCAUUA